This 72-nucleotide transfer RNA is filed under the name Salmo salar (Atlantic salmon). It matches the Rfam family "tRNA". From Rfam's summary of the family: Transfer RNA (tRNA) molecules are approximately 80 nucleotides in length. Their secondary structure includes four short double-helical elements and three loops (D, anti-codon, and T loops). Lineage: Eukaryota; Metazoa; Chordata; Actinopteri; Salmoniformes; Salmonidae. The record is from Rfam by way of RNAcentral.
CCCCCUGUAGCUCAGUUGGUAGAGCAUGGUGUUUGCAACACCAGGGUUGUGGGUUUGAUUCCCACGGGGGGC